RNAcentral lists this ribosomal RNA (188 nucleotides) under uncultured bacterium. Its description in RNAcentral is "partial 16S ribosomal RNA". It matches the Rfam family "Bacterial small subunit ribosomal RNA", at positions 338 to 524 of the family's 1533-position model. The record is from RNAcentral.
CCUACGGGAGGCUGCAGUAGGGAAUAUUGGUCAAUGGGCGGAAGCCUGAACCAGCCAUGCCGCGUGCAGGAAGAAGGCCCUCUGGGUUGUAAACUGCUUUUGACAGGGAACAAGUCGGCCAUGCGUGGCUAAGUGAGUGUACCUGUAGAAUAAGCCACGGCUAACUACGUGCCAGCAGCCGCGGUAAU